Prunus avium (sweet cherry) is the source of this 120-nucleotide non-coding RNA. The record is from RefSeq and is a predicted model, not a curated record. NCBI's taxonomy places the organism in Eukaryota, Viridiplantae, Streptophyta, Magnoliopsida, Rosales, Rosaceae.
CAAGAUUGUGUGACCCAUAUUCUUCCUGUCAUUGUUAAUUUUUCACAGGAUAAGUCUUGGCGCGUUCGUUAUAUGGUUGCAAAUCAAUUAUAUGAGCUGUGUGAAGCUGUUGGUCCAGAA